RNAcentral lists this ribosomal RNA (546 nucleotides) under uncultured bacterium. Its description in RNAcentral is "bacterial SSU rRNA". It matches the Rfam family "Bacterial small subunit ribosomal RNA", at positions 355 to 896 of the family's 1533-position model. The record is from RNAcentral.
UGGGGAAUAUUGCGCAAUGGGGGGAACCCUGACGCAGCCAUGCCGCGUGAAUGAAGAAGGCUUUCGGGUUGUAAAGUUCUUUCGGUAUUGAGGAAGGUUGAUGUGUUAAUAGCACAUCAAAUUGACGUUAAAUACAGAAGAAGCACCGGCUAACUCCGUGCCAGCAGCCGCGGUAAUACGGAGGGUGCGAGCGUUAAUCGGAAUAACUGGGCGUAAAGGGCACGCAGGCGGUUAUUUAAGUGAAGUGUGAAAGCCCCGGGCUUAACCUGGGAAUUGCAUUUCAGACUGGGUAACUAGAGUACUUUAGGGAGGGGUAGAAUUCCACGUGUAGCGGUGAAAUGCGUAGAGAUGUGGAGGAAUACCGAAGGCGAAGGCAGCCCCUUGGGAAUGUACUGACGCUCAUGUGCGAAAGCGUGGGGAGCAAACAGGAUUAGAUACCCUGGUAGUCCACGCUGUAAACGCUGUCGAUUUGGGGGUUGGGGUUUAACUCUGGCGCCCGUAGCUAACGUGAUNNUCGACCGCCUGGGGAGUACGGCCGCAAGGUUA